AACGUAGGGGACAAGCGUUAUCCGGAUUUACUGGGCGUAAAGCGCCCGUAGGCGGCCUGACAAGUUGGACGUGAAAGCUCCUGGCUUAACUGGGAGAGGCCGUUCAAAACUGUCAAGCUAGAGUCUGGAAGAGGAGAGCGGAAUUCCCGGUGUAGUGGUGGAAUGCGUAGAGAUCGGGAGGAACACCAGUGGCGAAAGCGGCUCUCUGGUCCAAAACUGACGCUGAGGGGCGAAAGCGUGGGGAGCGAAUGGG
Molecule: ribosomal RNA, 253 nt
Filed under: uncultured bacterium
Lineage: Bacteria
Description: partial 16S ribosomal RNA
Rfam family: Bacterial small subunit ribosomal RNA
Source: RNAcentral